AGCUAGUGGAUUUGUUUGGUCAAGAUGAGUUGCCUUGAAGACGCUCACCUUUCAAGGGGCAUUGAACUCAGGGCACUAAACCCACCCCCAUCCCUUUUCCAGGGGCUCCUGCUGGGCACUCAGGCCUCAGCUGCCCCACGCCCAAGACUACUUGAGUGCCUCUGCGAUGAGAAGAUGACAUGCCACUUACUGCAGCUCCACAGACACCGUAGUGGUUGGCAGACCUCCGGAUAUAGUGCAAGAGGAGAGAAAGACCACCUCUUCUUGCAGAUGACCUACCAACCCUAUGUCAAAGCUAGAGAUGCCUUCCCUUCACCUAGUCACCAGCAAAAGGAGAAGCAGAGGAUUCAACACACAAGCUGUUAACAGCACCACGUAUGCUAACAAGGGCUAAGGAGGGUAAGGCCGGAGAGCUCCGUCAUCCUCCUGACUGAGCAGACUCCUCAGAAGAGGCAUUACGCCCCUUGCAGAAUUGACCUGGCGGGUUGGUACAAGUACAGAGCCCACAGAGAGAAGUCCUGUAGCCGUCCUAGGAGUAUCUGCUGUAUUUCUUCAUCAGUAGCUUUCCUUUUCAAUUUCAACCAUUGACAACAUCUCACCUUUUUUCUUCCUACCUUCUUGUCUUGUAGGAGAAUCCUCCCCCCCCCCCCCCCCUCCAAAUCAAGCCUAGAUCUAUUUAAGGUGAGAAAGGAGAGGAAGGAAAACCAAAAAGAAACAAGAAUAUAGCCAACC
Molecule: long non-coding RNA, 732 nt
Organism: Harpia harpyja (harpy eagle)
Lineage: Eukaryota; Metazoa; Chordata; Aves; Accipitriformes; Accipitridae
Exons: 4
Source: RefSeq, a predicted model, not a curated record